AACUUGGCUAGCCCUACAAUGCCCUCUGUCUAUUGGUUAGGGUCCUUCCCUCUGACCAAUAAGCUCUGGAACUGCCGCACGGAUCUCUGGGAGUUGUAGUUUCCGUGUAACUCCAUCUACAGUAAACCAGCAACAAUUUCUCCCUCAAGAAGGCAGGAAUCAACCAUGCUGUAACCACCCGUCACAAAUUUCGUUCUUUGACGACAUGGAUUCUACCUCAAUUUAACUGUCAUCAGCAGGGCGCAGUUCUUUGCCUCGAAAGG
Felis catus (domestic cat) is the source of this 263-nucleotide long non-coding RNA. RefSeq lists it as uncharacterized. Lineage: Eukaryota; Metazoa; Chordata; Mammalia; Carnivora; Felidae. The transcript is spliced from 2 exons. The record is from RefSeq and is a predicted model, not a curated record.